This 374-nucleotide ribosomal RNA is filed under the name uncultured bacterium. Its description in RNAcentral is "bacterial SSU rRNA". It matches the Rfam family "Bacterial small subunit ribosomal RNA", at positions 525 to 896 of the family's 1533-position model. The record is from RNAcentral.
ACGUAGGGUGCAAGCGUUGUCCGGAAUUAUUGGGCGUAAAGAGCUCGUAGGCGGUUUGUCGCGUCUGCUGUGAAAUCUGGGGGCUCAACCCCCAGCCUGCAGUGGGUACGGGCAGACUAGAGUGCGGUAGGGGAGAUUGGAAUUCCUGGUGUAGCGGUGGAAUGCGCAGAUAUCAGGAGGAACACCGAUGGCGAAGGCAGAUCUCUGGGCCGUAACUGACGCUGAGGAGCGAAAGCAUGGGGAGCGAACAGGAUUAGAUACCCUGGUAGUCCAUGCCGUAAACGUUGGGAACUAGAUGUGGGGACCAUUCCACGGUCUCCGUGUCGCAGCUAACGCAUUAAGUUCCCCGCCUGGGGAGUACGGCCGCAAGGCUA